This is a long non-coding RNA of Aethalodelphis obliquidens (Pacific white-sided dolphin), 1514 nucleotides long. RefSeq lists it as uncharacterized. Lineage: Eukaryota; Metazoa; Chordata; Mammalia; Artiodactyla; Delphinidae. The transcript has 4 exons. The record is from RefSeq and is a predicted model, not a curated record.
ACAUGUGGGAUCUUCCCGGACCAGGGCUCGAACCCAUGUUCCCUGCAUGGGCAGGUGGAUUCUUAACCACUGUGCCACCAGGGAAGCCCAGAAAUGAACAAAGAUUAUGUUAAAGGGUUUUGGUCUCUUGUUUUAUUGGAACCAACUUUUUUUUAAAGGGGAAGAAUGUUUUAUUUUCCCAGUUAGAGCAUAAUGAGGUCCAGAUUCUUCAUCUGUAAAAGACAGUCAGAAAUCUUUGGGACUUACCUCUGACUGUUCACUUCCCUGCCCUACCCAGUACUGUUGAAGGAACAUUUUGAGCAAUACUGUACAUGACUUCUUAGUUCUGAAUUCAGACAGGAUGCAGUGUUAACUAAUAUGCUAAACUAUGCCUAACCACUAAUGGGCCUUUCUCUCUCCUUGGACAUUGGAUGGGACUGCCACUGAGUGUCUCCCAGAGGGAAGUGAUUCAAGACAAAGACCCAUUCUGCCAGUGGGCUAUGCUGGGAAUACCAACUAUGCUUGUUACAGAAUGUGCACGGUGACUGCUGACCGGCCUUCCCGAUGCCAGCAAGAGGGUACAGAAGCAAUCUCCCAAGCUUUCCACAACAUUCAAGUGACCAGGCACUUUGACCCCCAUCUUAGGGGCUGCCCCAAAGAAGCUGUGUUCCUACCUCACUUGGUGCCCCUAAGCGGCAGUUCAGACACCAGAGGGUGUAUGACCCUUGUUGAAAUGGAUUUGUCAUAGACUCAACCAGAGCAUCAGUUCACACUUUCCCACUCUUGUCGCUACUUUUCACCAAGGGCUUCAGAGAAAAGACGUCACCACACUGUGCAGCAACCCCAACUAGGGAUCAAACCCAUGCCACCUUCAUUGGGAGCACAAAGUCUUAACCACUGGACCACCAGGGAAGUCCCUACACAGACUUCUUUACAGGAUAGCUCAAGACUCCGAGACGACUGCCUAAGAGAGCACAGAAGAGAUCUCAUGCCCUGUGGCUUCUCUGAAACAGCCAGAGAACCUCAGGGAAGUGUUACGCUUGUAGCCUGGAGCCAGGGAACCAGAGGAGACCAGAGGUGAGAACCUCCUGGUUCCCAAGGCCUGGAGCGCAUCUGCCAAUCUGGGAAAUGCAGUCAGCAUAGGUCCUCCAAGUGAGAGGCUGGUUUGGGCUGGAGAACUGGUCUGCGUUCAAGCCUCUUUCUUCUUUAACGAAAAGCUAAGUUAAGACCGUGGUUGCUGACACUCUCUGAAGAAUGCCAAAAACAUCCAGAAACAAAUUUAUGGAACACGCCCUGUUUUCAUUUCCUGCUACGACAAAUUACUAUAACCUGGGAGGCUUAAAACAUCAGAACUUGAUUCUUUGCAGAGUUCUGGAGGCCAGAGGUCCAAAACUAAGGUGUCGGCAGGGCUGUGACCCCUCUAGUCUUUAGGGGGAAUAUCCUUCCCUGCCUCUUCCAUCUUCUGGUGGCUCCAGGUGUCCCUUGGCUGUGGCAGCAUCACUCCAGUCUCUGACCCCAUGGUCACACUGCCUCUU